Molecule: non-coding RNA, 961 nt
Filed under: Gekko subpalmatus
Lineage: Eukaryota; Metazoa; Chordata; Lepidosauria; Squamata; Gekkonidae
Description: 12S ribosomal RNA
Rfam family: Bacterial small subunit ribosomal RNA (bases 172-959)
Source: RNAcentral
CACCGUCUUGGUCCUAAACAUAACGUUACUUAUAGCUGAUCUUAUACAUGCAAGUAUCCGCAGCCCAGUGCAUAUAGCCAACCUACCAAGUGAGCAGAUAUCAGGCACACACCUGUAGCCCACAACAUCUAGCUACGCCACACCCCCACGGAACACAGCAGUAAUAAACAUUAAGCCAUGAGCCUAAAGACCCCUCAAGCUCGACUUAGAUACAACUACUUCCCGGCCGGUAAACUCCGUGCCAGCCACCGCGGUUAUACGAAGGGCCUUAAAUAACCCCCCACGGCGUAAAACGUGACUAGAAGCGAAUUUUAAAUGCGGGUAUACAACCUGGAUAUAGUCGUAAAACGCACACAUCAAAAGGAACCCUCUCCUCCCCCAUUAACAAAUCACCUUUGACCACACGAAAUCUGUGAAACAAACCAGGAUUAGAUACCCUAUUAUGCCCAGACAUAAACCCAGGCAGUCAGCCUUACUUUUUCUGCCCGCCAGAGAAUUACACGCACCCUAAGCGUAAAACUCAAAGGACUUGACGGUGUCCCACACCGACCUAGAGGAGCCUGUCCUAUAAUCGAUAAUCCACGCUACACCUUACCCCCCAUUGCAAAAACGCUGUUUUCAACCUAUAUACCGCCGUCGCCAGCUUACCUUAUGAAAGCCAAACAAGUAAGCAAAAUAACUCAUCGCUAAAACGUCAGGUCAAGGUGUAGUUAAUUGGGGGGCAGUGAUGGGCUACAUUUUCUACUAGAGAAACCCUCAGCAGUAUGAAAUAGUGCUAUAAGACGGAUUUAGCAGUAAACCUGGGCAAGAACUGCCCAAUUGAAGACCGCCCUGAGACGCGUACACACCGCCCGUCACCCUCCUCAACAAACCAAAACUUAAAUAAUUAAACCCCUAUUUACUUUUCAGAUGAGGCAAGUCGUAACAUGGUAAGUGUACUGGAAAGUGCACUUGGCAAAAA